RNAcentral lists this ribosomal RNA (493 nucleotides) under uncultured bacterium. RNAcentral describes it as "partial 16S ribosomal RNA". It matches the Rfam family "Bacterial small subunit ribosomal RNA", at positions 28 to 507 of the family's 1533-position model. The record is from RNAcentral.
GACGAACGCUGGCGGCGUGCCUAACACAUGCAAGUUGAGCGACGAACCAGGGCUUGCCCUGGGGCAAAGCAGCGAACGGGUGAGUAACACGUGGGUAACCUACCCCGAUAACCGGGACAACCCGAGGAAACUCGGGCUAAUACCGGAUGUGCCCACUGGACUUCGGUUCAGUGCGUAAAGGAAGCUUCGGCCUCCGUAUCGGGAGGGGCCCGCGGCCCAUUAGUUUGUUGGUGAGGUAACGGCUCACCAAGACCGCGAUGGGUAGCUGGUCUGAGAGGACGAUCAGCCACACUGGGACUGAGACACGGCCCAGACUCCUACGGGAGGCAGCAGUGGGGAAUCUUGCGCAAUGCGCGAAAGCGUGACGCAGCAACGCCGCGUGGGGGAAGAAGGCCUUCGGGUUGUAAACCCCUUUCAGGAGGGACGAAGGUUCGGCGGUGAAUAGCCGUCCGGACUGACGGUACCUCCACAAGAAGCCCCGGCUAACUACGUG